GAGGAAUAUUGGUCAAUGGGCGAGAGCCUGAACCAGCCAAGUAGCGUGCAGGAUGACGGCCCUAUGGGUUGUAAACUGCUUUUGUAUGGGGAUAAAGUCAAUCACGUGUGAUUGUUUGCAGGUACCAUACGAAUAAGGACCGGCUAAUUCCGUGCCAGCAGCCGCGGUAAUACGGAAGGUCCGGGCGUUAUCCGGAUUUAUUGGGUUUAAAGGGAGUGUAGGCUGGAGAUUAAGUGUGUUGUGAAAUGUAGACGCUCAACGUCUGACUUGCAGCGCAUACUGGUUUCCUUGAGUACGCACAACGUUGGCGGAAUUCGUCGUGUAGCGGUGAAAUGCUUAGAUAUGGCGAAGAACUCCGAUUGCGAAGGCAGCUGACGGGAGCGCAACUGACGCUGAAGCUCGAAGGUGCGGGUAUCGAACAGGAUUAGAUACCCUGGUAGUCCGCACAGUAAACGAUGGAUGCCCGCUGUUGGUACCUGGUAUCAGCGGCUAAGCGAAAGCAUUAAGCAUCCCACCUGGGGAGUACGCCGGCAACGGUG
This 539-nucleotide ribosomal RNA is filed under the name uncultured bacterium. Its description in RNAcentral is "bacterial SSU rRNA". It matches the Rfam family "Bacterial small subunit ribosomal RNA", at positions 356 to 896 of the family's 1533-position model. The record is from RNAcentral.